RNAcentral lists this ribosomal RNA (450 nucleotides) under uncultured bacterium. RNAcentral's name for it is "partial 16S ribosomal RNA". It matches the Rfam family "Bacterial small subunit ribosomal RNA", at positions 354 to 796 of the family's 1533-position model. The record is from RNAcentral.
GUGGGGAAUCUUCCGCAAUGGACGAAAGUCUGACGGAGCAACGCCGCGCGAGUGAUGAAGGUCUUCGGAUUGUAAAGCUCUGUUAAUCGGGACGAAAGAGCCUAGAGUGAAUAAUGCUAGGAAGUGACGGUACCGGAAUAGAAAGCCACGGCUAACUACGUGCCAGCAGCCGCGGUAAUACGUAGGUGGCAAGCGUUGUCCGGAAUUAUUGGGCGUAAAGCGCGCGCAGGCGGAUCUGCCAGUCUGUCUUAAAAGUUCGGGGCUUAACCCCGUGAUGGGAUGGAAACUACAGAUCUAGAGUAUCGGAGAGGAAAGUGGAAUUCCUAGUGUAGCGGUGAAAUGCGUAGAUAUUAGGUAGAACACCAGUGGCGAAGGCGACUUUCUGGUCGAAAACUGACGCUGAGGCGCGAAAGCCAGGGGAGCGAACGGGAUUAGAUACCCUUGUAGUCC